UGGGAGGGCGCAGGCGCGGUGGGGUAAGGGGAGGGGGGCGGGAUUAGGGUCGCCGUGGCAACUGUUGGCGUGGAGACGGGGGGGGGGGUUGGAAAGCGGGGCGUUGCCAUGGCGACCGUCGGCACAACCGCAGCCCGGGCCUGUCAGCACAGCUCCUGUCACCGUGGCAACUGUCACCCUAAGAGGGAGCCAGGCCCGUCUCCAACAGCCACUGUCACCUGCACUGACAGCCAGGGCUGUUGUCAUGGCAGCUGUCACCCACAGCCACUGUCACCUGCAGUGACAGCCAGGCCUGUCGCCAUGGCAACUGUCACCCGUAAGUGGCAGCCCAGACCUGUCACCUACAGCUACAGUCACUCUAAAAGGCAGACAGCCCCAUCACCAUGGCAACUGUCACCCGUAAGUGGCAGUCAGGCCUGUCACCAACGGCCCGUCACCCGCAACAGGCAGUCUGGGCCUGUCGCCAUGGCAACCAUCACCCUAAGGGACAGCCAGGCCUGUCGCCAUGGCAACUGUCACCCACAGCUACUGUCACCCGUACUGACAACCGUGGCUGUUGUCACUGCAACUGUCACUCUAAAAGACAGCCAGACCUGUCACCACAGCAACUGUCACCCACAACAACAGCCGGACCUGUCACCACAUGGGGACACGGGGACAGACGGUGGGGACAUUGACGAGGAGCGUUCCCCACGUCCCCCUGCCUGCCGGUGUCCCCAUGGUGUCCCCACGUCCCACAUCAUCCCCCUGCCCCUCACUGUCCCCAUGUCCCGUGCUGUCCCCACGUCCCUUGGUGUCCCCACGUCCCCAUGA
RNAcentral lists this long non-coding RNA (813 nucleotides) under Numida meleagris (helmeted guineafowl). Its description in RNAcentral is "lncRNA (ENSNMEG00000001936.1)". The record is from RNAcentral. Lineage: Eukaryota; Metazoa; Chordata; Aves; Galliformes; Numididae.